Molecule: ribosomal RNA, 279 nt
Filed under: uncultured bacterium
Lineage: Bacteria
Description: partial 16S ribosomal RNA
Rfam family: Bacterial small subunit ribosomal RNA
Source: RNAcentral
UGCCAGCAGCCGCGGUAAUACGGAGGGGGUUAGCGUUGUUCAGAAUUACUGGGCGUAAAGCGUACGUAGGCGGAUUAUUAAGUGAGGGGUGAAAUCCCAGGGCUCAACCCUGGAACUGCCUCUCAUACUGGUAGUCUUGAGGUCGAGAGAGGUGAGUGGAAUUCCGAGUGUAGAGGUGAAAUUCGUAGAUAUUCGGAAGAACACCAGUGGCGAAGGCGACUCACUGGCACAUUUCUGACGCUGAGGCGCGAAAGCGUGGGGAGCAAACAGGAUUAGAUA